GACGAACGCUGGCGGCGUGCUUAACACAUGCAAGUCGAACGGAAAGGCCUCUUUCGGGGGGUUCUCGAGUUGCGAACGGGUGAGUAACACGUGAGUAACCUGCCCUUGUCUUUGGGUUAAAUUCCGGAAACUGGGGCUAAUACCGGCUAGGAGAUCCUGUUGACUGCAGGGGGUUGGAGAGAUUCGGGGGUUGGGGGUGGCCUCGCGGCGUAUCAGCUUAUUGGUGGAGUGGUGGCUUACCAAGGGUUUGACGGGUAGCCGGCCUGAGAGGGUGACCGGCCACACUGGGACUGAGAGACGGCCCAGACUCCGACGGGAGGGAGCAGGGGGGAAUAUUGCAGAAGGGGUGGCAGCUGGAUGCAGCAGCGCCGCGGGCGGUAGAACGGCCUUCUGGUUGAAAACCGCAUGCGCUCAUGACGAAGCUUUGUGUGACGGUAGUGGGUAAAGAAGCACCGGCUAACUACGUG
RNAcentral lists this ribosomal RNA (467 nucleotides) under uncultured bacterium. Its description in RNAcentral is "partial 16S ribosomal RNA". It matches the Rfam family "Bacterial small subunit ribosomal RNA", at positions 28 to 507 of the family's 1533-position model. The record is from RNAcentral.